ACGGGUGCGUAACGCGUAGGAAUCUGCCUUGAAGCGGGGGACAACCCGAGGAAACUCGGGCUAAUACCGCAUAAUCUCGAGAGAGCAAAGCUAGGUAGCAAUACCUUGCACUUCAAGAGGAGCCUGCGUCCGAUUAGCUAGUUGGUGGGGUAAAAGCCUACCAAGGCGAUGAUCGGUAGCUGGUCUGAGAGGAUGAUCAGCCACACUGGGACUGAGACACGGCCCAGACUCCUACGGGAGGCAGCAGUGGGGAAUAUUGGACAAUGGGGGCAACCCUGAUCCAGCAAUGCCGCGUGUGUGAAGAAGGCCUUAGGGUUGUAAAGCACUUUAGUUUGGGAGGAAGACGUAUAGUUUAAGAGAUAAUACGUUUGACUGUACCGAAAGAAUAAGCACCGGCUAACUCUGUGCCAGCAGCCGCGGUAAUACAGAGGGUGCGAGCGUUAAUCGGAGUUACUGGGCGUAAAGGGCGCGUAGGCGGUUGUUUAAGUGAGAUGUGAAAUCCCUGGGCUUAACCUAGGAACUGCAUCUCAUACUGGACAGCUAGAGUAUUGUAGAGGGUAGUGGAAUUUCCGGU
RNAcentral lists this ribosomal RNA (574 nucleotides) under uncultured bacterium. Its description in RNAcentral is "bacterial SSU rRNA". It matches the Rfam family "Bacterial small subunit ribosomal RNA", at positions 102 to 674 of the family's 1533-position model. The record is from RNAcentral.